CAAACCAGACUCGCCGACGAGAUCAACACCCGCACCACCGUCACCGUCCUCGUCCUCACCAACGGCGUCAUGUCCUCCCUCGCCGCCAAGCACCCCCUCUCCGUCAUCAAGAACGCCCUCAGCCUCCACAUCCUCCUCGACUACUACGACCCCGCCAAGCUCCACAAAAUCUCCGACGGCUCCGUCCUCACCACCACCCUCUACCAAACCACCGGCCACGCCCCCGGAAACCUCGGCUUCGUCAACAUCACCGAUCUUUCCGGCGGUAAAGUCGGCUUCGGCUCCGCCGCCCCCGGAUCCAAACUCGACUCUAGCUACACCAAAUCGG
RNAcentral lists this long non-coding RNA (328 nucleotides) under Fragaria vesca (wild strawberry). Its description in RNAcentral is "long non-coding RNA (FVES_LNC003612)". Lineage: Eukaryota; Viridiplantae; Streptophyta; Magnoliopsida; Rosales; Rosaceae. The record is from RNAcentral.